AUUGAACGCUGGCGGCAGGCCUAACACAUGCAAGUCGAGCGGGGAGAUGGUGCUUGCACUAUCACUUAGCGGCGGAGGGGUGAGUAAUGCUGAGGGAUCUGCCUAUUAGUGGGGGACAACAUCUCGAAAGGGAUGCUAAUACCGCAUACGUCCUACGGGAGAAAGCAGGGGAUUUACGGACCGUGCGCUAAUAGAUGAGCCUAAGUCGGAUUAGCUAGUUGGUGGGGUAAAGGCCUACCAAGGCGACGAUCUGUAGCGGGUCUGAGAGGAUGGUCCGCCACACUGGGACUGAGACACGGCCCAGACUCCUACGGGAGGCAGCAGUGGGGAAUAUUGGACAAUGGGCGGAACCCUGAACCAGCCAUGCCGCGUGUGUGAAGAAGGCCUUAUGGUUGUAAAGCACUUUCAGCGAGGAGGAAGCUACUUUAGUUAAUACCUAGAGGUAGUGGACGUUACUCGCAGAAUAAGCACCGGCUAACUCUGUGCCAGCCGCCGCGGUAA
RNAcentral lists this ribosomal RNA (501 nucleotides) under uncultured bacterium. Its description in RNAcentral is "partial 16S ribosomal RNA". It matches the Rfam family "Bacterial small subunit ribosomal RNA", at positions 30 to 523 of the family's 1533-position model. The record is from RNAcentral.